UACGUAGGUGGCAAGCGUUGUCCGGAUUUACUGGGCGUAAAGAGCGCGCAGGCGGUUGUUUAAGUCGCAUGUGAAAGCCCCCGGCUCAACUGGGGAGGGUCAUUCGAUACUGAUCGACUUGAAGGCAGGAGAGGGAAGUGGAAUUCCGGGUGUAGUGGUGAAAUGCGUAGAUAUCCGGAGGAACACCAGUGGCGAAGGCGGUUCUCUGGGAAUAUCCUGACGCUGAGGAGCGAAAGUGUGGGGAGCGAACAGG
This 253-nucleotide ribosomal RNA is filed under the name uncultured bacterium. RNAcentral describes it as "partial 16S ribosomal RNA". It matches the Rfam family "Bacterial small subunit ribosomal RNA", at positions 524 to 776 of the family's 1533-position model. The record is from RNAcentral.